CUAACAUAUCAAUAAGCGGAGGAAAAGAAACCAACAGGGAUUGCCCUAGUAACGGCGAGUGAAGCGGCAAGAGCUCAAAUUUGAAAUCUGGCCCUCUCAGGGUCCGAGUUGUAAUUUGUAGAGGGCGCUUUGGCGUUGGCCCCGGCCUAAGUUCCUUGGAACAGGACGUCACAGAGGGUGAGAACCCCGUACGUGGCCGCCGGCCUCCGCCGUGUAAAGCCCCUUCGACGAGUCGAGUUGUUUGGGAAUGCAGCUCUAAAUGGGAGGUAAAUUUCUUCUAAAGCUAAAUACUGGCCAGAGACCGAUAGCGCACAAGUAGAGUGAUCGAAAGAUGAAAAGCACUUUGGAAAGAGAGUCAAAAAGCACGUGAAAUUGUUGAAAGGGAAGCGCUUGCAGCCAGACUUGCCUGUAGUUGCUCAUCCGAGCUCCCGCUCGGUGCACUCUUCUGCGGGCAGGCCAGCAUCAGUCCGGGCGGUCGGAUAAAGGCCUCGGGAAUGUAGCUCCCCUCGGGGAGUGUUAUAGCCCGGGGUGCCAUGCGACCAGCCUGGACUGAGGUCCGCGCAUCUGCUAGGAUGCUGGCGUAAUGGCUGUAAGCGGCCCGUCUUGAAACACGGACCAAGGAGUCUAACAUCUAUGCGAGUGUUUGGGUGUCAAGCCCGGGCGCGCAAUGAAAGUGAACGGAGGUGGGAACCCCUCGGGGCGCACCAUCGACCGAUCCUGAUGUCUUCGGAUGGAUUUGAGUAAGAGCAUAGCUGUUGGGACCCGAAAGAUGGUGAACUAUGCCUGAAUAGGGUGAAGCCAGAGGAAACUCUGGUGGAGGCUCGCAGCGGUUCUGACGUGCAAAUCGAUCGUCAAAUUUGGGCAUAGGGGCGAAAGACUAAUCGAACUAUCUAGUAGCUGGUUCCUGCCGA
Molecule: ribosomal RNA, 911 nt
Filed under: Lophiotrema mucilaginosis
Lineage: Eukaryota; Fungi; Ascomycota; Dothideomycetes; Pleosporales; Lophiotremataceae
Description: partial 28S ribosomal RNA
Rfam family: Eukaryotic large subunit ribosomal RNA
Source: RNAcentral